AAACCAGUUCACCUGAGAAUUGAUAACAACAGCUGGAACCAAACAAGAGUCAUUACCCCUCCCUCAGAGCCAUGCUCAUAUACUGAUGAAAGAGACUCUCAAAGGUACUGGAGAAACCAUCAAGAUUUAUUUGAAGUACUUGUGAUAUCCUAGAGAACUGCUGAUGCAGUAGAAAAAGAGGAAAGCUCAACAAACAGAUAAAGAAAGAAGAGAAUUUGUAUUAGUGCCAGUAGAAUAGUUACAGGCACUAGCAUCGCCAAAAUUGGUGAGUGCGAAAUCACUACAGAUACCAGCAUUGGCAAAACUGCCUCAUCUGGGCAGUACCUGGCUAAAGCCAUAAUGUAAUCAGACUCGGAGCCAACAUGUCCCAAACCAUGGAGCCACUUGUGUCUCUCCAUUUCUCCAUGUGAUUCUGACGAGAAUACACUUGCAAUCAGUUUUGGAUAUCUCGGUACCAGAGAGAUGUAAAGCAAUUUACGGGAGUUGAAUAAAAUACAGCAACAUGUAUUUUGGCUGCAGAGUUUGAGAGAUUCAUUCUUGAGGCCCACAGAGAGCCCAAGAAGCAGUGAGGCAGCACCUCAUUAUCCACACCCAAUCAAUCUACUGCAGUGUUGCUGUUGGCACACCACCGAAGCGAUCGGUGCCCUGGUGCAGGUUAACUGGAGAAGCUUAAACUGAUUUGGAGAGACAAGAUACUCCACAGGAGAGAGUACAGAACUAUGGAUGACAGCAGCAAAUCAUGGCAAUAAUAAUAGCUGUGGCGUCUGGAGAAAUAAUGGUGAAGAAACAAUGUAAUUGGAUUGUACAUGACUGGAUUCACUCAGUAAAGACAAUAUUUGAAGCUUCACUCAAGUCCUAGCGCACUGAAUGAUGGCCAGAGGUGUCACUACCACUGGACAACAGAAAUUCCUGUUCAUUAUUUUUCAAGAAAGAUCCUUUCAGAAUGACAAGACACUUCUUAAGUACAAGGAGGAAAGCAACACCAACAAAAAGAGAGAGGAUGUGUAUAUGUGUGUGAGAGAGAGAAACAGGAUUCUGUACUGAACCAACCUCUUCCAGAAUUAAUGCCAGCAUAGCUUGUUUUGGGAUAUAUGGAGUGGUUAAGGAAAGUACAAUAUGUGUUUGCACCCUGAAAAAUAACACUUACAAAUUGCACGGUGAGUUCUAUCUUUAUUGUUUCUUAAUUCUUU
Mauremys mutica (yellowpond turtle) is the source of this 1190-nucleotide long non-coding RNA. RefSeq lists it as uncharacterized. Lineage: Eukaryota; Metazoa; Chordata; Testudines; Geoemydidae. The transcript has 6 exons. The record is from RefSeq and is a predicted model, not a curated record.